This is a non-coding RNA of Carica papaya (papaya), 901 nucleotides long. NCBI's taxonomy places the organism in Eukaryota, Viridiplantae, Streptophyta, Magnoliopsida, Brassicales, Caricaceae. The record is from RefSeq and is a predicted model, not a curated record.
UGAGAGAAUACAUCAAAUUUUUUUCUCCCAUCCUUCUUUGGAUGAUGUGGAUGUUAGAAACAUCCUAGCUGCAGAGCAACGAAAAAUUUUGUCUGGUUGUAGAAUAGUAUUUAGCAGGGUCUUCCCAGUUGGCGAAGCCAAUCCUCACCUGCAUCCAUUAUGGCAGACAGCUGAACAAUUUGGUGCCGUGUGUACGAACCAAAUAGACGAGCAUGUUACUCAUGUAGUAGCCAAUUCACUGGGGACUGAUAAGGUGAAUUGGGCUCUAUCCACAGGAAGAUUUGUUGUUAAUCCUGGCUGGGUGGAAGCAUCAGCACUGCUUUAUCGGAGGGCAAAUGAGCAAGAUUUUUCCAUCAAACCAUAAACAAAUUAUUACACAAAAUCCUUGUGUUUAAAAUUAAUGAUUGGUUAAAAAGACUAAACCAGGGAUCACAGAAAAGUGGGAAUCAGCACCUCAUGCUAUGCUGGGUGAGCUUGAAAGGUUUACUGGGUAAAGUGGUAGUGACCAGUUUUUGCACCGAGUUUGCACAAGCUGAAGUCUAAAUUAGCUUGGUUUUUAGUUGGGCUCUGGGAGCUUUAGAAAUAUUAACUGCUGGGGAAUGGCCCUUUUUCUGUUAUGCUGGGGGAAAAUGGCCUUGUUGAGAAGGGUUGGACAAAGCGCAACGAGGGCAGCCAAGCCGAAUUUACCCCUUUGCAAUUUACCAAAUCGGCUAAUUAAAUUCACGCUCGGGUAAGAGAAGUGGAUUUUGGAAACUCAUCUAUUCCAAAAGCACAGAUGAGUUGGAAGAUUCCUUAAUUAUGAUUAUGAACCAAUUAGGAUCAGUGUCUUUCAACUCGCCUGUGCUUGGAUGCACCUUAUAAUUUUGAGUAAUUAUAAACGGAAUGCUACAACGUGAAAAAA